GUGUCAGCAGCCGCGGUAAAACGUAGGACGCAAGCGUUAUCCGGAGUUACUGGGCGUAAAGCGCGGGCAGGCGGCUGGUCAAGUGGGAUGUGAAAGCGCUCAGCUUAACUGGGCGAGGCCAUUCCAAACUGACGGGCUGGAGGGCAGUAGAGGUAGGCGGAAUUCCGGGUGGAGUGGUGAAAUGCGUAGAGAUCCGGAGGAACACCAGAGGCGAAGGCGGCCUACUGGGCUGCACCUGACGCUGAGCCGCGAAAGCCAGGGGAGCGAACGGGAUUAGAAACCCCCGUAGUCC
This 292-nucleotide ribosomal RNA is filed under the name uncultured bacterium. RNAcentral's name for it is "partial 16S ribosomal RNA". It matches the Rfam family "Bacterial small subunit ribosomal RNA", at positions 505 to 796 of the family's 1533-position model. The record is from RNAcentral.